CCUACGGGUGGCAGCAGUGGGGAAUAUUGGGCAAUGGGCGCAAGCCUGACCCAGCAACGCCGCGUGAAGGAAGAAGGCUUUCUGGUUGUAAACUUCUUUUCUCAGGGACGAAGCAAGUGACGGUACCUGCGGAAUAAGCCACGGCUAACUACGUGCCAGCAGCCGCGGUACUACGGAGGUGGCAAGCGUUAGCCGGAUUUACUGGGUGUACAGGGCGUGUAGGCGGGACUGCAAGUCAGAUGUGAAAACCACGGGCUCAACCUGUGGCCUGCAUUUGAAACUGUAGUUCUUGAGUACUGGAGAGGCAGACGGAAUUCCUAGUGUAGCGGUGAAAUGCGUAGAUAUUAGGAGGAACACCAGUGGCGAAGGCGGUCUGCUGGACAGCAACUGACGCUGAGGCGCGAAAGCGUGGGGAGCAAACAGGAUUAGAUACCCUAGUAGUC
Molecule: ribosomal RNA, 443 nt
Filed under: uncultured bacterium
Lineage: Bacteria
Description: partial 16S ribosomal RNA
Rfam family: Bacterial small subunit ribosomal RNA
Source: RNAcentral